GAUGAACGCUGGCGGCGUGCUUAACACAUGCAAGUCGAACGAUGAAGCCCAGCUUGCUGGGUGGAUUAGUGGCGAACGGGUGAGUAACACGUGAGUAACCUGCCCUUAACUCUGGGAUAAGCCUGGGAAACUGGGUCUAAUACCGGAUAUGAGCGUCCACCGCAUGUUGGGUGUUGGAAAGAUUUAUCGGUGUUGGAUGGACUCGCGGCCUAUCAGCUUGUUGGUGAGGUAAUGGCUCACCAAGGCGACGACGGGUAGCCGGCCUGAGAGGGUGACCGGCCACACUGGGACUGAGACACCGCAGAGACUCACACGGGGGAGCGCAGUGGGGAAUAUUGCACAAUGGGCGAAAGCCUGAUGCAGAGACGCCGCGUGAGGGAUGACGGCCUUCGUGUUGUACACCUCUUUCAGUAGGGAAGAAGCGAAAGUGACGGUACCUGCAGAAGAAGCACCGGCUAACUACGUG
RNAcentral lists this ribosomal RNA (466 nucleotides) under uncultured bacterium. RNAcentral describes it as "partial 16S ribosomal RNA". It matches the Rfam family "Bacterial small subunit ribosomal RNA", at positions 28 to 507 of the family's 1533-position model. The record is from RNAcentral.